GCCAAGGGCAGUGGUGUGCACCUGUAGUCCCAGCUACUUAGGAGGCUGAGGUAGGAGGAUCACUUGAGCUCAGGAGCUCUGAGCUGUAGUGCACUGUGCCAAUUGGGUGUCUGCACUAAAUUUAGCAUCAAUAUGGUGAUCUCCCAGGAGUCAGGGACCACCAGGUUGCCUGAGGGAGGUGUGAACCUACCCAGGUCAGAACUGGAGCAGAUCAAGACUCUCAUGCUGAUCAGUAGUGGGAUCUCACCUGUGAAUAGCCACUGCAUUCCAGCCUGACCAACACAGACCCCAUCUCAA
Molecule: unclassified non-coding RNA, 297 nt
Organism: Macaca fascicularis (crab-eating macaque)
Lineage: Eukaryota; Metazoa; Chordata; Mammalia; Primates; Cercopithecidae
Rfam family: Metazoan signal recognition particle RNA
About the family: The signal recognition particle (SRP) is a universally conserved ribonucleoprotein. It is involved in the co-translational targeting of proteins to membranes.
Source: Ensembl